Molecule: ribosomal RNA, 497 nt
Filed under: uncultured bacterium
Lineage: Bacteria
Description: partial 16S ribosomal RNA
Rfam family: Bacterial small subunit ribosomal RNA
Source: RNAcentral
GAUGAACGCUGGCGGCGUGCCUAACACAUGCAAGUCGAGCGAACAGACGAGGAGUUUGCCCCUCUGACGUUAGCGGCGGACGGGUGAGUAACACGUGGAUAACCUACCUAUAAGACUGGGAUAACUUCGGGAGACCGGAUCUAAUACCCGACAAUAUAUUGAACCGCAUGGUUCAUUAGUGAACGACGGUUUUGAUGACACUUAUAGAUGGUUCCGCGCCGCAUUAGCUAGUUGGUAAGGUAACGGCUUACCAAGGCGACGAUGCGUAGCCGACCUGAGAGGGUGAUCAGCCACACUGGAACUGAGACACGGUCCAGACUCCUACGGGAGGCAGCAGUAGGGAAUCUUGCGCAAUGGGCGAAAGCCUGACGGAGCAACGCCGCGUGAGUGAUGAAGGUCUUCGGAUCGUAAAGCUCUGUAAGUAGGGAGGAAGGAAAGUGUGAGUAUCUAUGCACGUCUUGACGGUACCUAAAGAAAAAGCCACGGCUAACUACGUG